AGUAAAUAGAUACCCCGGUAGUCCACGCCGUAAACGAUGUCGACUUGGAGGUUGUGCCCUUGAGGCGUGGCUUCCGGAGCUAAACGCGUUAAAGUCGACCGCCUGGGGAGUACGGCCGCAAGGUUAAAACUCAAAUGAAUUGACGGGGGCCCGCACAAGCGGUGGAGCAUGUGGUUUAAUUCGAUGCAACGCGAAGAACCUUACCUACUCUUGACAUCCAGAGAACUUAGCAGAGAUGCUUUGGUGCCUUCGGGAACUCUGAGACAGGUGCUGCAUGGCUGUCGUCAGCUCGUGUUGUGAGAUGUUGGGUUAAGUCCCGCAACGAGCGCAACCCUUAUCCUUUGUUGCCAGCGGUUAGGCCGGGAACUCAAAGGAGACUGCCAGUGAUAAACUGGAGGAAGGUGGGGAUGACGUCAAGUCAUCAUGGCCCUUACGAGUAGGGCUACACACGUGCUACAAUGGCGCAUACAAAGAGAAGCGACCUCGCGAGAGCAAGCGGACCUCAUAAA
Molecule: ribosomal RNA, 509 nt
Filed under: uncultured bacterium
Lineage: Bacteria
Description: bacterial SSU rRNA
Rfam family: Bacterial small subunit ribosomal RNA
Source: RNAcentral